CCUACGGGAGGCAGCAGUGGGGAAUAUUGGACAAUGGGGGCAACCCUGAUCCAGCCAUGCCGCGUGUGUGAAGAAGGCCCUCGGGUUGUAAAGCACUUUCAGUGAGGAAGAACGCCUGGUGGUUAAUACCCAUCAGGAAAGACAUCACUCACAGAAGAAGCACCGGCUAACUCCGUGCCAGCAGCCGCGGUAAUACGGAGGGUGCGAGCGUUAAUCGGAAUUACUGGGCGUAAAGCGCGCGUAGGUGGCUUGAUAAGCCGGUUGUGAAAGCCCCGGGCUCAACCUGGGAACGGCAUCCGGAACUGUCAAGCUAGAGUGCAGGAGAGGAAGGUAGAAUUCCCGGGGUAGCGGUGAAAUGCGUAGAGAUCGGGAGGAAUACCAGUGGCGAAGGCGGCCUUCUGGACUGACACUGACACUGAGGUGCGAAAGCGUGGGUAGCAAACAGGAUUAGAUACCCUGGUAGUC
RNAcentral lists this ribosomal RNA (465 nucleotides) under Vreelandella stevensii. RNAcentral describes it as "partial 16S ribosomal RNA". It matches the Rfam family "Bacterial small subunit ribosomal RNA", at positions 338 to 795 of the family's 1533-position model. The record is from RNAcentral. Lineage: Bacteria; Pseudomonadati; Pseudomonadota; Gammaproteobacteria; Oceanospirillales; Halomonadaceae.